RNAcentral lists this ribosomal RNA (468 nucleotides) under uncultured bacterium. RNAcentral's name for it is "partial 16S ribosomal RNA". It matches the Rfam family "Bacterial small subunit ribosomal RNA", at positions 28 to 507 of the family's 1533-position model. The record is from RNAcentral.
GACGAACGCUGGCGGCGUGCUUAACACAUGCAAGUCGAACGGAAAGGCCCUGCUUUUGUGGGGUGCUCGAGUGGCGAACGGGUGAGUAACACGUGAGUAACCUGCCCUUGACUUUGGGAUAACUUCAGGAAACUGGGGCUAAUACCGGAUAGGAGCUCCUGCUGCAUGGUGGGGGUUGGAAAGUUUCGGCGGUUGGGGAUGGACUCGCGGCUUAUCAGCUUGUUGGUGGGGUAGUGGCUUACCAAGGCUUUGACGGGUAGCCGGCCUGAGAGGGUGACCGGCCACAUUGGGGCUGAGAUACGGCCCAGACUCCUACGGGAGGCAGCAGUGGGGAAUAUUGCACAAUGGGCGGAAGCCUGAUGCAGCAACGCCGCGUGCGGGAUGACGGCCUUCGGGUUGUAAACCGCUUUCGCCUGUGACGAAGCGUGAGUGACGGUAAUGGGUAAAGAAGCACCGGCUAACUACGUG